Molecule: non-coding RNA, 32 nt
Filed under: Geobacter sulfurreducens PCA
Lineage: Bacteria; Pseudomonadati; Thermodesulfobacteriota; Desulfuromonadia; Geobacterales; Geobacteraceae
Source: RNAcentral
GCGACAACUAUGCUGGGGUCGUGUACUUGCCA